UUUACUUGUCUCGGGAACAAAAGUUAGUGUAUCACGAUGAAUGAACAUUUCAUAAGCAGCAGUGAAUUCUGAUCUGGAAGUCAAUCAUGCUGAAAUGCAGUAUUAUCAGAUCACCACAUUACUAAGACUGGCAUAAAUUUAGCAGUGAGCCGCUACCAGUCCACAGGCUACAAGCCUCGGCCAGCCACACGACUUGAGGGAGAUCAGUCUGCGUUUGACAAUCUGCUACUGUUAUUGAGAAGAAAACAAUUUGAUGUUGGGGGAGAGUCCGUUUAGAAAUUGAUUGUGUAUGUCAGACUGGAAAACACUGGAAAAUACACACACACACAAAAAAAUGCGCCGCGUACUCUAGUAGAAGGCAGCCAUCUUCGUACUCGCCACCGAGAGAACCUCAAAUCGUACUUGGUCUCCAGGCAAAUGCAAGGAGAGUAUGUAUCCUUCUAAAUCUUCACAUUUAUUAUUCGCGACAUUGUGCUCUAAGUAAGGACAAAAAUAUAGAUAAAUGUGUUAAUUGAAUAAAAAUUUUCCAUCGUCUAGUAAAUAUAAAACGUAAAACGACGUUUCGGAGAUGGGACUCUAUCUCCGUCUUCAGGUUCCUACACAGUUGGGCCCACUAGAUAGAGCUAUUGAUAUAAAUGUGUUAGUUGGACUCAGCUGACUUAUAAUCUGAUCCAGUUUUGAAUAUUCUGUUUAUGCGUUAGUUUAGCCUUUAGUUUAACUAGGUGUUUGGUCACUUACUUUGUUAUCUAAAAUCCGUACUACAUAGUUGUGCUACUCCUUGCGUCGUGGUGUAAUAUUCAGCAUCCUAUUACGUAUAUUAUAAGCGAGAUAGUACAGAAUGACGUAAUGAACAACACGGUUAUGCAUCUUCCAUCAUUGGCUGCAUUGUCGUUUAUAGUUUGUAAUUAUGCAUAAACAAAGACAGUUUUGUGCAAAGGAAGUUGGUUAAUAAUUUAUUUAUUUAAUUGUAUAAUUUUAUACACUUGUAAUCUAGUGACAGGCUCUCACAGUGACAUCGGCAAUGACCCCGGGUUGACCUCUGUGGCCGUGACUGAGGAGGCUCUUACUAACCAUGAAAAUAAUGGCAUUUUAAUGUUUUACAAAGGACAAAUUCACUUUGUAGUUCCAUCAUAAAACACAUUGCAAAAUUUCACCUUGAGUAUCAUUAUUAACUUUUCUGUACAUUUACUUUGACGGACACAAACGCAUUAGCACUUCCUAUCCGAUACGUUUUCCUUUCAUUAUGAAACAAAUUUAAAAAGUCGUGGAGCAGAACUUUGUUAUGCACAGAAGUGUGUAUGUACUCAUAUUUACUUUUUAUACACAUGCAUAACCUGCUUGCGUGUACUUAUUAUAUGUGCAGUUAUGAAUGCCUACAUAUCCGUAUGUAGCUUUAUGCAUCUACGCGAGAUUUCUUCAGUCUUUAUAGCAGUAAAUGGGGAUUGUGGUUUCGUGGGUUAUGACGACGUGUAGCCUUGUAAGUAAACACCGACAAGACUGCAAGGCAUCAUAGCCCACAUGUGUACGCAUCUUAGUGAGAUCUGUCGUGAAGGUGGAAUUCGCUCAAGAUUGUGCCCAAUGAAGUGUUUACGGCUGUAGACGAAUUACGAAGCAACGUAGGUACAGUUAGCAAACAAUAACACAGUUUGUGAAAAGUGAGGUU
This is a non-coding RNA of Zootermopsis nevadensis, 1663 nucleotides long. The record is from RefSeq and is a predicted model, not a curated record. Lineage: Eukaryota; Metazoa; Arthropoda; Insecta; Blattodea; Termopsidae.